This 438-nucleotide ribosomal RNA is filed under the name uncultured bacterium. Its description in RNAcentral is "bacterial SSU rRNA". It matches the Rfam family "Bacterial small subunit ribosomal RNA", at positions 342 to 797 of the family's 1533-position model. The record is from RNAcentral.
CGGGAGGCAGCAGUGAGGAAUCUUGCACAAUGGGGGAAACCCUGAUGCAGCGACGCCGCGUGAGCGAUGAAGCCCUUCGGGGUGUAAAGCUCUUUCGGCAGGGAAGAUGAUGACGGUACCUGCAGAAGCAGCUGCGGCUAACUACGUGCCAGCAGCCGCGGUAAUACGUAGGCAGCAAGCGUUGUUCGGAGUUACUGGGCGUAAAGGGUGCGUAGGCGGUUGUUUAAGUUUGGUGUGAAAUCUCCCGGCUCAACUGGGAGGGUGCGCCGAAUACUGAAUGACUAGAGUGCGGGAGAGGAGAGUGGAAUUCCUGGUGUAGCGGUGAAAUGCGUAGAUAUCAGGAGGAACACCGGCGGUGUAGACGGCUCUCUGGACCGCAACUGACGCUGAGGCACGAAAGCGUGGGUAGCAAACAGGAUUAGAUACCCGGGUAGUCCC